This 5424-nucleotide long non-coding RNA is filed under the name Lotus japonicus. RNAcentral describes it as "long non-coding RNA (LJAP_LNC000815)". The record is from RNAcentral. Lineage: Eukaryota; Viridiplantae; Streptophyta; Magnoliopsida; Fabales; Fabaceae.
CUCAAUGUGGUUAUUUACUUAAAUGCAAAGUCUGCAUUAAUUUAUCUUGUUCUGAAUGGCCCCAUAUUUAUUAGUAAGGUGGAUUUGCAGGUUUUAACUUUUAAACCUCAAAUUCCUGCUUUUAAAUUCCCAUUUAGAAAGCUUCAAAAGAAUGACAAGUCACUUAGUGCAGUUACUAGAAUCAUUUUUGAGGACCCAUAAUCAGCAUCUACUUUGAAUAACAAUUGAAAGAGCUAAGAGGAAUUACUUCAUUCAUCUUCAAACAAGGCUACAUGGAAAGAGCAGAGGAAGACUGAGCAGUUCGUAGUGCACACACGAUACAUACCAAAGUAAGAUUGCAGUAUGCUACAUCUAGCACACUUAUUUAUGGCUCGCUAGCAGAAAACCAAAACACCAUCUAAGCAUAACAGGCUCACAAACUCGGUCUAGUUAUUACAACCAUGCAUGAGUAAAAUCAUGGACGAAUUGGUGCUGGAACACUGCCACCACCUCCAGGAAUGGGAACCUCAUAGCCAGGGUUAGGAACAAAGGUGUCAUCACCACCGGGAACAUAACUGCGUCCUGGUCGACCCGAUCCUGAUCCGGCUCCAGCUCCUGUUCCAGCUCUUCCAGCGCCACCAGUAAAUGGAUUCUGGGGUAUAAGCCCAUGCUUUGGUGGAAAUCCUACUGGUCCAACGCCUGGAAUGUACACUCUGCCAUCAUGCUUGAACAAGAACUCAGGCUCUUUCUUGUCCUGGGUGUUAGAGUUCAUGGCAAUGUUGCUUCGUCCAGCAACUGCGACAAGGAGGAUAUUGGAGAUGAGAAGGAGUGAGAGUAAAAGGGAAACUCUGUGAGCCAUUCUCUCUCAGAUAACAAGUGCAAAGAGGUUAUCAGUGAUGUGUAUUCUGGUAUUCAACAACUUUUGAGUUGAAGAAGCUAGAAGGGGGUGACUGCAUUAUAUAGUUCUAGAUUCUGCAGUAUUGAGUGAACUUUGGCGGUGAGUAAAGUGUUUCUUGAGGAAAUGUCGCUGGCAGGGUCGUGGUUCAUGAAUCAUGAUGCAUGCUAGUAAAUCAUUUGUUCAGCCUCAGUUUAUUAUUACCAUUUGUAGAAGAUAUUCACCAAAGUUGUAUCGGCUACUAAAUGCAGCCUUCACAUGGCUGAUUUAUGCACCGUAAUAUGUAGAAAUCUUGGGAUUGCUUCUACCUACAUUCUAGAUGUUUUAUUACUUUCACUUGCUAGUUGUUACUUGAGCAUUUUUUAAGCUGAAAGAGAAGUGGUAGUUAAUGCACUAUGUAGCGGCACUUUCAACAUGCCCUUUUCACACCGUAAAAUAUUUGUAGGCAUACCCAUUGUGCAGAUAUCCAACAGACAAGAUAUCCAGAGUGAGAAAGAAAGAAUUGAGAGAGAACUAACUAAUGUGAUAUACGAUGGAAUAAAAAGAUAGGAAGAGAAAUGAGAAAUCUGUUGGAUGUCUGUACUGUUUGUAUGUCUGACUAUCAUUCACAAUCCAGUGAAAAAGAACAAUUGUUUUUAAGGAAAACGUUACCAACACUCAUUUUUAACACUUUUUCAUUAAUGAUUGAAAUUAAUAUUGGUCCACUAAAAAUAUUGGUUCCCCAUCCAAUUCACAUAACUCAGAUUCUCUUCUUCAUUUUGCAUCUUCCUUCGUUUCCUGGGCUUGAACCAUCAUGGGCUUGGCCCAUUCACCAUUUAGCUGCCCCUUCCCUUGAACUCCACUAUAUUGGGAGUUCAAUUUUGUAUUUCCCACCACCUUAGAUCAUAUUUUGAAAUUGAAUUUAACGGUGCUCACUAGGGUGGGCACUUUGCAUUUUGGUCCACUGGUGGACUAGGGGAUAUUUUAGACUUUUUCGUUCCUUUCUUUCUCCCUUCCACUCUACCUUCCACACUACCUUGAGUACCAUCCUCAACAGAACAUGAAACGCCCUUUUACUCUGAUGAUUCUGAUUAUUAAGCUGCUUUAAUAUACUGGACAUUGAAAUUGAAAUUUCCAAUUUCCAUUACUUAUUAUUAUUUCUACUCCUCGAUCUCAAAUGAUUUCAAUCUCUGUAAUAUUUGUUUGUGUUAAAUUUCUAUAUAAACUAGAAAACAAAAGGAUCCAUGGAAAUGCAUGUUAGCUCACCCCUAUAUUAUAUCAAUUCUUCAGAUUUUUGUCAAACCCACACCCACACAUACAGAUCUGAAACAAAUGUAGUUUGCUCCUGAUUCUGGAAUUGGAUUGAUCGAUCCUUAUUUAAUUUCCGUUUUUUAACAGUGUUGCUGCUACUCCUCCUUUCAAGACCAGUGUUGAAAAUUGGUUCUGUCAAUCGAACCCAGAUCUGAAGAGUGGCGACACGGUGAACGCGUGGAUCGAGUUCGAUGGGUCCAUUCAGGGGUUGAAUGUUUGGGUCUCGUAUUCCAAUCUGAAACCGAAAGAUCCCAUUUUAUCGAUGAAUCUUGACAUGGGUCCGCUUCAACGCAUGAUAACAUGGAGACUCACCGGGUGGGUGGAGUGGUGGAGCUUCAACUCGUCAUUUGGUGGAACAGGUUUCUCAACAGCGUCGUCGCCGCCGCCGCUCCUUCUCCGGACCCGUCCGAAAAUACAUCGAAUGAGAUUUGGGAGCGGUUGAUGGGGUUGUCACUGCAGGGGCUUUCGUUUUGGCUCUGUUUGCAGGGUCGCUGUUUUGGGUUUAUUCUAAGAAGAUGAUGAAGCAAGUUAACCGUUCUGAUUCUCUUGGAUAACUGGUAUUAUGCAAGGCCAGCAAAGGCACACCCUCAAUGCACUUUCUCUGAACUAGUCACGCAAUACCCAUGACCAAAACAACCAGAAAAAAAGGGUCUUUUUACUUUUUUACCCUUUGAUCAUCCAUCAAAUCCUAGCCAUCUAAAUAAAGAAUAUUCCAAGAUUCUUAAAUCCAACGGUGUUUAAGUUUGGUCCACCGGUGGACCAAAAUGCAAAGUGCCCACCCUAGUGGGCACCGAGUUUAACUCCUACCUUAUCUCUAGAAACCCUAACAUGCGAAUUAUCAAGUGUGAUCUCCUUGUGGCUUCUUCUCACUUUGCUUAUCAAUCUUCUACAUGAUGAUUGUGGUUUAACCAUCCAUCACUCUUUUCUCCUUCCAUCUUUGUAUUUUCUUCUUCCAAAAAUUCAUCUCAUUUUCUAUUUCCUUUCUUUCUUUUCAUUUUUUUCCCACUUUUCUUCUACAUACCAAACAUACUUAUACAUGGUUUGUUUAUAAGGAAAAUGAGUGGAAUCAAAAGGGGAGGAAGAGAUUAUGAAUGGAAAAGUGUGUAUUCCAUGGUUGGGAUAAGUUGAAAAGGGUGGGGGAUGAAUAGAAAUAAUGUUUUGUUCAUAUUUCUUAUCAUCUCCAGCUUCAAUCUACAUUUGACAAUCCGGCAAAAAAUUUCUUGUCCAAAUUUUAAUUUCUAUAUUGGAUACAUUGAAUUGAAGUUUGCAAGUAACACUAAAACAAAACAUACACAAACAUUAUCGUUGUGUUUGCACUAACGCUCAAAAUAAACAACUUUCUUAACAGAGUGUAAGCAAAAUAUAUUAGGAACAAUUUUUUUCUCACUAGAAAACCGAAAAAGUAAAAAACAAAAAUGAGAUGGUCGAAAAGUGUAAGCAUAUAUGAUUGAAGUUGCAGGGCUCACAUCACAAAUAAUAACCGAAUCUCAUCAAUGAAUGUGAUGAGUUGAAGUUCAAGAAGACAGGUCACUCAAGUUGUCGUUGAAUGUUUAUAUCAUCAAAAACUAAUAAUAUAACUUGGAUAAAUUUUUUUUAAAAAAAUUAGUGCAAUUUAUUUAAUAUUCAUUUACAAGUGAAGAGCUUUGAUAUAUAUUUUUUAUCAUAAAUUCUUAUAUAUUAAAUUUUUAUAAUUUAUUCAUUUGUAUUUUAAAUAAUGAACUGAAUAGGGGAAAAGAACUCUUCCAUUUUAGAAUGUUACGGAAAGAACGCCAAAAUAUUUAAUAGUUUUAUUAAAUAAAAUCAAUACAUUUGACAUAAUUGACAUAAUAUAACUAAUAACGUUCCUUUUACGUUAGUCUUUUCCGAUUGGGCCCCCAUGCAGCUUUUUUAUGGCUUAUCAUCAUUUAUCAUGAUUCAGUUUACUUUACAUAAAGCUUUCAAUUAUACAUUUCCUUAAUAAGUAAUUUCCAGUUCAUGAUAAAAUGUUCUAGAUUUAGUUGGAGAUAUAUAUUUCAGUAGUAAUGGCACUCUAUCACCAAACAUUCAAAUUUGUUGGGAUUCAACAUUACCGGUAAAUCGUAUCCUUGCCAUUUUCCAUUUCAAAAAAAAUAAACAUUACCGGUAAGAAGAAGAGAAUGAAUAUUCCAUGAGCAUGGCAUACUAUAUAUAUAUAUAUGUUAAUUGUCAAAUUAUUCUUUGAAUUUAUAAGUGAGUUUGAUUUUAAACCCUCUUAGGAAAAAUGACGUUUAGUAACGGUCAAAAACCGUCAUUAAUUGUAAAAAUGACCACCCCUAAACGUUUUUUUCCUCAUAGAGACUAAACUAAAAUUAAACUCGCUUAUAAAGUCAGGGACUAAUUUGACCAUUAAUCAUAUAUAUAUAUAUGUGUGUGAGAGAGGGGGGGGGAAUCAACUUAGGGUCCGUUUUGAAACGAACCAAAAAGCACUUAUUCGAACUCUGCUCUCUGACAGUGACCAAAACCAAACUGGCUACAAUCGUGGGGAUGGGGACCAAGUUAUUUUCCGGGAAGAGACUAAAAUCAAAUUCUCUUACAAACAAGUGAUUAAUUUAAUGAUUAAACCUUAAUUUAAUUACUAAAAAAAUGAAUUAUUAAUCGCAAAAGUUUAAAAAUAAAAUUAUAUUAUUAUAAAUACAGUAUCCAACACAAACUUAGAAGGACUUUUAGGCUAAUGAAACAAUUUGUUCCUUCUACUUCUUCUGCAUUCAAACUCAAACAAUGGACUUUAGCUUACUUGCUGGAAUACUUUAGUGUUUGCUUGAUUUUCAAUUGAAAACCAUCCCCAAUUUAUGUUUAGCAAAGACAAGAAUUUUCCCUUGAAAAAUGUUGCAUUAUAUCUCAAGAUUACCUUUGCAAGAAUGCAAUCUGAUACAGAUAAACAUCUCAAUGCCUGUUAUCACCGCCUUGCAUUAUGCUGAAACACUUACAUUUUGUGACCUUAACUAAGCAUUAGUUUUCUACAAGUACUUUUAGUAAACAAAAGAGCAUCAAAAUGAUACCACUUCCACAAAAUUCUACUAUCUUGAAAUCACUGUUGCACCAGGUAUUAACAAUAAUCUAUCAUGAAUUUGGCCUUUCCUCAGAAAAUCUAGGAAGUUGAACAAGCGAGUUUACCCGAGUUACCCCCUCCAAACCUGACCAGUUUUGAUCAUCAGCGUAUGAUGUUGCAUCUUCAACAUCGACAGGUACUGCUCCAUUAGUCUCAUCUUCUUCCGAGGAUCUCACUGUGAAGUUCCUCUGCA